CUACGGGCCGCUGCAGUGGGGAAUAUUGCACAAUGGGCGCAAGCCUGAUGCAGCGACGCCGCGUGAGCGAUGAAGUAUUUCGGUAUGUAAAGCUCUAUCAGCAGGGAAGAUAAUGACGGUACCUGACUAAGAAGCACCGGCUAAAUACGUGCCAGCAGCCGCGGUAAUACGUAUGGUGCAAGCGUUAUCCGGAUUUACUGGGUGUAAAGGGAGCGUAGGUGGUUUGGCAAGUCAGAUGUGAAAGCCUGGGGCUCAACCCCGGAACUGCAUUUGAAACUGCCAGACUAGAGUGCAGGAGAGGUAAGGGGAAUUCCUAGUGUAGCGGUGAAAUGCGUAGAUAUUAGGAGGAACACCAGUGGCGAAGGCGGCUUACUGGACUGUAACUGACACUGAGGCUCGAAAGCGUGGGGAGCAAACAGGAUUAGAUACCCCGGUAGUC
This 439-nucleotide ribosomal RNA is filed under the name uncultured bacterium. RNAcentral's name for it is "partial 16S ribosomal RNA". It matches the Rfam family "Bacterial small subunit ribosomal RNA", at positions 339 to 795 of the family's 1533-position model. The record is from RNAcentral.